Molecule: long non-coding RNA, 2073 nt
Filed under: Bos mutus (wild yak)
Lineage: Eukaryota; Metazoa; Chordata; Mammalia; Artiodactyla; Bovidae
Description: lncRNA (ENSBMUG00000015520.1)
Source: RNAcentral
GCACGGAGCCCGAGUCUUCCUCUACGAAGUCUUCUCCAGGCGGAGGCCUGAGAGGCGUCCCGGAGGUCGCCGGGCCCGCUUUGCGUACAACCCGGGAAAAGGCCCCUCAGGCGUGAGGCUGAUGCUGGGAGGAGGGUGGAAAAAUCUGAGUCACCAACCCCCGAACAAAUGGCGGCGGGGGCCGUGCGGUUGACUGACCGAGGCCCGAGGCCGAGGGCGGCCUUUGAGCGGCGGUGAGCUUCCCGAGGCAGCAGGGGGAGCCUGACGCCGAGGGAGGCCGGUGGCUGGGAGAACCCAGAACGGCCUGACCCUGGGGAGAGGAGAGUUCGGGGUCCGCGCUCAGCGCCGCGACUCCGAAGUCCCAGGAUCCCAGAAAAGGUGCGCUCUGGACCAAACUGCGGACCCGCCGGGGAGAGCGCCCCAACAAGCAGAGAGCAGGACUGGCGCCCUGGUGUAGGGGGGCUCUUCAGGCAGCUCAGUCCUGCCGCGCAAGCUGGGGAGAAGGUAGCGGUGCGCGCUGCGGGAAUCCCGCCGGGACCGAGGGUCGCGCCGCGACUUUGCCGAGCGGAGCUCACGACCCAGAACGGCGCUCCGCGUCCACCAGGUCGCCCCAGCGAGGCUGACAAUGGGCGCCGGGACCCUUGCGGGGUCGAACUGGAAGGGGCUUCCGGGCCCCGGGCCCCGGCGCUUUCUCCUGCGGCGCAGACUGGGAUAGAGCGUAGACUGCAGAGAAAUCGGGUUUCGGAAAAGCAGCAUCGGCGCUGGCCUGACGCAGGUCCCGACUCGGGAGAGAGGAAGGAGCCCCGGGGGGAGGGGGUUGGCUGGAGGGGUCGGCUGGUGGCCGCCUCUAGCCCUCGGCAGCCAGAUGAAGAAAAGGAAAGCGAACUCAUUUUCCUCGGAGGGACAAGAGGGCUCCAGCGCGCUCUCCUCCCCAGGCCUAGAAACAGGUUCCCAAGCGUCCUCCGACCGCCAAUCGAUCCCGGCUGCCCGCCCGUAACCGAUGAUGGUAGGAAAGCAGAGAGGAACUGCGGGCAGCGGCACCUCCCCCGGGCCGAGGCUGGGCGGGCGAGUCCGGACCUGCGCCGCUCUCUGCACAAAACGAAACCCAAACUCCUCAAAAUCUUAAGAGGGAAAUUUUUUAAAAUCCCCUUUCCCCUCUUGCACUUUUAACAAACCAGCUACUGGGAGAAAAAAAACGAAAUGAGCGCUAGCUAAGGACACUUAUCUUUUCAAAUUGUGAAAUCCCGUUUAAAAAUAUUUCCUCCAAGGCCAGCCCUUCUGAAGCCUUUGCCUCUUCCUGAAAAUUCCAACUAAACAAUCGGAAUUUCGACCACGGUCCUGGGAAGAAGGAAUAGCCGUGAGGCCCAGGGAACCCACUGUGGCCAAAUUGCCAUGCUCUUGUUUCUCUUUAACCAAGGGGAAAAAAAAAAAAAAAAAGAUAAGAAGAAGUAAAACCUUUUAAUACAUCAAAUAUACGGAAUUUUAAUCUUUAAAGCGAUACAUUGUCUAUUAUUUUAGUACAUGACGUAAACCUUGUCCCCUUUUCAGCGGGUGGACUUAAAAAUUAAAAAUAGUUAAGUGUUCCUUUUAAAGAACAAAAUAAGGCAAAUGAGGUUUUGGAAUAGAAUUGUUUUUCCUUUUUUUUUUUUUGUUUUCUUCCAGAAUACAUACAAAAAAAUACCCAUUCUCUUUUGAUGGUAUACACCUUAAAAAUAAUUGCAAUUUGAAAUCAGAGCUGACAAAUUGUGACUUGUUUUGUUUUUUUUUUUCAUUUUUGUAACAAACAUGCAUGUAAAUUUGUGUUUCAAUCAGACAUUAAAUAAGAACGUACAAUAUACAAUCAUAGCAAUUUUAAAGUAACAUUAAAGAGAAGACCUCUAGUUCUGUGGCGGUUUUGUAUUUAUUUAUAAUCUACAAGGGAUGGGAGGGUUUGUUUUCCACAUUUUUAACCCUCAAGUUUUAAUUUUUCCCCCUUCUUCCUUUUUACCUACAGAGCUCAAACUAAGUAAUGCACUUUUGAACCACGGGUCCGCUUGGAGCUAACAUAAAUAAAUACCAGUGUCCACCGAUGCA